Molecule: ribosomal RNA, 391 nt
Filed under: uncultured Vibrio sp.
Lineage: Bacteria; Pseudomonadati; Pseudomonadota; Gammaproteobacteria; Vibrionales; Vibrionaceae
Description: bacterial SSU rRNA
Rfam family: Bacterial small subunit ribosomal RNA
Source: RNAcentral
UGGGGAAUAUUGCACAAUGGGCGCAAGCCUGAUGCAGCCAUGCCGCGUGUGUGAAGAAGGCCUUCGGGUUGUAAAGCACUUUCAGUCGUGAGGAAGGUAGUGUAGUUAAUAGCUGCAUUAUUUGACGUUAGCGACAGAAGAAGCACCGGCUAACUCCGUGCCAGCAGCCGCGGUAAUACGGAGGGUGCGAGCGUUAAUCGGAAUUACUGGGCGUAAAGCGCAUGCAGGUGGUUUGUUAAGUCAGAUGUGAAAGCCCGGGGCUCAACCUCGGAAUUGCAUUUGAAACUGGCAGACUAGAGUACUGUAGAGGGGGGUAGAAUUUCAGGUGUAGCGGUGAAAUGCGUAGAGAUCUGAAGGAAUACCGGUGGCGAAGGCGGCCCCCUGGACAGAU